This is a long non-coding RNA of Vespa crabro (European hornet), 872 nucleotides long. RefSeq lists it as uncharacterized. The transcript has 2 exons. The record is from RefSeq and is a predicted model, not a curated record. NCBI's taxonomy places the organism in Eukaryota, Metazoa, Arthropoda, Insecta, Hymenoptera, Vespidae.
GAAGUCGUCGAGAGCCAAACGUUUACCACUUUCUUAAGACACCUCUUGGAGCCGAGCAUGUAUUGGAAGGCAAAGAUGGCCGACGAGGAAGGAAAAAAAGUGGAAAGCGACGCGACAGGUGAUGGAUCGUGGCAUCGUCGUUAACGCGUUCGUGUCUUCGUCGUUCGUGUAUUUGUCUUCGAAGUUAAAUCCGUUACGCAGGAAGCUCGAUUAUUUCUCGACGUUCCGCGUGCAACAUAUACAUGCAUAUAGAUACCUAUACAUAUAACGAAUAACGAAUAACGAAAGGAAGAGGAGCGACGAAUCCGCGUAAGAGAGUCGUAGGCACGUAGGCAAUACAUCCGCCUACGGCGACUAUCCGCAACACAACGCCGGAAAGGUUCGCGUUGAAUCCCAGUGGCGUGACAGGCUGCCUACGCGCGGCUGUAUCUGCAUUGAUCAAAGCAGCAAUUACUGUCAUCGUAAUAUUACUCGGGACGUUACUCACGUCGUGGGGGCAGCGCUCGGGAGAGAAAGAGGGAAGACAACUGCGAUAGCAGCGCCACGACCGAACCGCGACGAAGCCGCGACGGAGCCGCGAAAAAGCCGCGGCAGCACCGCGACAAUGCCACGUUGGCACCGCACCGAUCGCAGCGCCAACUUCCAAGCUCCGACUUCCAGCAGCGUUUAAACGAUUGUACCUAAGGAUGGCAAUUUUGGAGAUUUUCCUUCUUCCCAUACAAAGGGAAAAAUGGAAAAAUUGUCUUUUGUUUGAACUGCGAAAACUAAGAAACACUGUUCCAAUUUGAAAACAACGAUAUGUCUACAUAUAAAGAAUGUAAAAAAAUAUUCGAGUUAAAUAAAUCACAAACACUUAUUAUUUUAGGACAAUA